Molecule: unclassified non-coding RNA, 162 nt
Filed under: uncultured Conlarium
Lineage: Eukaryota; Fungi; Ascomycota; Sordariomycetes
Description: sequence contains ITS2
Source: RNAcentral
CAACCCUCAAGCGCUGUAGUGCUUGGUGUUGGGGUAUCUGCUGCUUGUAGCAGGCCCUGAAAGAUAGUGGCGAGGUCGCUGUGACCCUGAGCGUAGUAAUUUACACCUCGCUUCUGUGGUUCGCAGCGGGUUCUCAGCCGUGAAACCCCCAAAUUUUCACAA